Molecule: long non-coding RNA, 234 nt
Filed under: Setaria viridis
Lineage: Eukaryota; Viridiplantae; Streptophyta; Magnoliopsida; Poales; Poaceae
Description: long non-coding RNA (SVIR_LNC007547)
Source: RNAcentral
GUGGAGAUUGAUGGUUACUUUCACUCACCACGGAAUCCAAGACUACGCGAGCCUCCGUGGUAAUGUGGUCCUGGAGCUCCUCUCGGUGAGCCACGAUCAGCAUCUUGUCCUCCGACGUUAAUGGAUCUUCGGAAUGAAUGCACUCAAUGGCGCGCACGAGCUCGGGGCUAAGACGUUGAUGCUGAAACAAAGAAGGAAUGAGGGGGGAUAUUCUCCUCCUUAGGGUCUAAAAAA